UACGGGGGGGGUAAGCGUUGUUCGGAAUUACUGGGCGUAAAGGGCUCGUAGGCGGCCAACUAAGUCGGACGUGAAAUCCCUCAGCUUAACUGGGGAACUGCGUCUGAUACUGGAUGGCUUGGAUUUGGGAGAGGGAUGCGGAAUUCCAGGUGUAGCGGUGAAAUGCGUAGAUAUCUGGAGGAACACCGGUGGCGAAGGCGGCAUCCUGGACCAACACUGACACUGAUGAGCGAAAGCCAGGGGAGCAAACGGG
This 253-nucleotide ribosomal RNA is filed under the name uncultured bacterium. Its description in RNAcentral is "partial 16S ribosomal RNA". It matches the Rfam family "Bacterial small subunit ribosomal RNA", at positions 524 to 776 of the family's 1533-position model. The record is from RNAcentral.